RNAcentral lists this ribosomal RNA (478 nucleotides) under uncultured bacterium. RNAcentral describes it as "bacterial SSU rRNA". It matches the Rfam family "Bacterial small subunit ribosomal RNA", at positions 28 to 507 of the family's 1533-position model. RNAcentral also lists the same sequence under 1 other name. The record is from RNAcentral.
GAUGAACGCUAGCGGCAGGCUUAACACAUGCAAGUCGAGGGGUAUAGUUUUUCGGAACUAGAGACCGGCGCACGGGUGCGUAACGCGUAUGCAAUCUACCUUUUGCAGAGGGAUAGCCCAGAGAAAUUUGGAUUAAUACCUCAUAGUAUAGCGACAUCGCAUGAUGAUGCUAUUAAAGUCACAACGGCAAAAGAUGAGCAUGCGUCCCAUUAGCUAGUUGGUAAGGUAACGGCUUACCAAGGCAACGAUGGGUAGGGGUCCUGAGAGGGAGAUCCCCCACACUGGUACUGAGACACGGACCAGACUCCUACGGGAGGCAGCAGUGAGGAAUAUUGGACAAUGGGCGCAAGCCUGAUCCAGCCAUGCCGCGUGCAGGAUGACGGUCCUAUGGAUUGUAAACUGCUUUUAUACGAGAAGAAACACUCCAACGUGUUGGAGCUUGACGGUAUCGUAAGAAUAAGGAUCGGCUAACUCCGUG